AAGGGCUUAGCUUAAUUAAAGUGAUUGAUUUGCAUUCAAUUGAUACAGAAUAGAGUUUUUCAGUCCUUA
RNAcentral lists this transfer RNA (69 nucleotides) under Pongo abelii (Sumatran orangutan). It matches the Rfam family "tRNA". Rfam says of the family: Transfer RNA (tRNA) molecules are approximately 80 nucleotides in length. Their secondary structure includes four short double-helical elements and three loops (D, anti-codon, and T loops). Further hydrogen bonds mediate the characteristic L-shaped molecular structure. tRNAs have two regions of fundamental functional importance: the anti-codon, which is responsible for specific mRNA codon recognition, and the 3' end, to which the tRNAs corresponding amino acid is attached (by aminoacyl-tRNA synthetases). tRNAs cope with the degeneracy of the genetic code in two manners: having more than one tRNA (with a specific anti-codon) for a particular amino acid; and 'wobble' base-pairing, i.e. permitting non-standard base-pairing at the 3rd anti-codon position. RNAcentral also lists the same sequence under 1 other name. The record is from Rfam by way of RNAcentral. Lineage: Eukaryota; Metazoa; Chordata; Mammalia; Primates; Hominidae.